CCCAGCUAGAGGACUCUGUCCUGAGCAAUCAACUGGUAAUGGAGAUAUUUACAUGCUAAUUAAUGACUUAUGCUAAUUAAUGAUACUCUGAACAGACUAUAAAUUAUUGAAUGCUCAAGUUUAAAACCUUAUCCUGAGAGAAAGCCUACAGUAAUAGGUUAUAAUAGACCAAUUAAGUCUCUUCUCAGGAUGAUCUAUGACACGAUUUACCCAUUAACUUAGCUGUCAUACGUCUUGAAAGUAUAAUAUAAAUCUAGGCAGGAAAAGGAGUGUAGGGAUUAACUGGUAGAAGCAAGCAGGAGAAAUAACAUCCUGAAGCUGAGGCAGUAGGAAGGCUUUGUCAUCCUGCAGGAUGAAAGGAGAGGAUGGAUCUGGUGUGAAGAUGCUGCGAGAGAAGAAGGCCAAAACAUAGCAUCAUACCAGCCACUAUGAAGGAGAAAACAACUCUGUCCCAGCUGAAACCAGGACAAUAUGAAGACUCUGCACUGACCUUGACACCCAGCUUCCCUGAGAAACAGGAACAGCCAACUGCUGGUGUGAAGAAAUCUGAUGACCAACGUGGAUAGUGAUAACAAAAAAAAUCUUCCUAAAAGCCUACAACUUCAAAAAUAAUGUUUUUUUCUUCCCCCCUUACUCCUGAAAAUCAAACUUUGCUUUACAUAAUUAACCCCUACAUUUGGCAGCUGAAACUUUUUUUUUUUUUCCCAUAUGAUCAGACCUAAGACAAACCCUUGAAAUAUUUUGCUGUUGAAAACUUGGAUGAAAAUAUCUUGGUCUGUGUGUGGAAUUCAUCUGCAAUGGGAUCCGGAUGGCCAUAACCUCAACCUGAAAUGUGACAUUAUGGAGCCACAAAGCUUCAAAACCUUGAGAUGAGUCUGUACUAGAAGAGAAAAGCUGCAGUUCAGCAACUAGACAUUAAGAGUGAGAGGAAGGAGCUCAUCCUGCAGUCUCAGCUGGGAUCAUGCAGGAAUAGAAAGGAGGAGAACAAAGACCAAGAAAGCAGUGAUAUGUGGACUGGGAUGAAAGUGAGGUGAAAGAAGAAAGUGGAAUGAGAGUCGCACAAGCAGAGUGCAUGGACAUGCAGCAGGGGACGGAAGAAAACAGAUGUGCU
This is a long non-coding RNA of Gallus gallus (chicken), 1111 nucleotides long. The record is from Ensembl. Lineage: Eukaryota; Metazoa; Chordata; Aves; Galliformes; Phasianidae.